Molecule: ribosomal RNA, 474 nt
Filed under: uncultured bacterium
Lineage: Bacteria
Description: bacterial SSU rRNA
Rfam family: Bacterial small subunit ribosomal RNA
Source: RNAcentral
ACUCCUACGGGAGGCAGCAGUAGGGAAUCUUCCACAAUGGACGAAAGUCUGAUGGAGCAACGCCGCGUGAGUGAAGAAGGGUUUCGGCUCGUAAAACUCUGUUGUUAAAGAAGAACAUAUCUGAGAGUAACUGUUCAGGUAUUGACGGUAUUUAACCAGAAAGCCACGGCUAACUACGUGCCAGCAGCCGCGGUAAUACGUAGGUGGCAAGCGUUGUCCGGAUUUAUUGGGGCGUAAAGCGAGCGCAGGCGGUUUUUAAAGUCUGAUGUGAAAGCCUUCGGCUCAACCGAAGAAGUGCAUCGGAAACUGGGAAACUUGAGUGCAGAAGAGGACAGUGGAACUCCAUGUGUAGCGGUGAAAUGCGUAGAUAUAUGGAAGAACACCAGUGGCGAAGGCGGCUGUCUGGUCUGUAACUGACGCUGAGGCUCGAAAGUAUGGGUAGCAAACAGGAUUAGAUACCCUGGUAGGAUAGCC